Otolemur garnettii (small-eared galago) is the source of this 107-nucleotide small nuclear RNA. The record is from Ensembl. NCBI's taxonomy places the organism in Eukaryota, Metazoa, Chordata, Mammalia, Primates, Galagidae.
GUGCCCGCUUCAGCAGCACAUAGACUAAAAUUGGAACGAUACAGAGAAUAUCAGCAUGGCCCCCACACAAGGAUGACAUGCAAACUCAUGAAGCGUUCCGUAUUUUG